UGGGGAAUAUUGGACAAUGGGCGAAAGCCUGAUCCAGCCAUGCCGCGUGUGUGAAGAAGGUCUUCGGAUUGUAAAGCACUUUAAGUUGGGAGGAAGGGCAGUAAGCGAAUACCUUGCUGUUUUGACGUUACCGACAGAAUAAGCACCGGCUAACUCUGUGCCAGCAGCCGCGGUAAUACAGAGGGUGCAAGCGUUAAUCGGAAUUACUGGGCGUAAAGCGCGCGUAGGUGGUUCGUUAAGUUGAAUGUGAAAGCCCCGGGCUCAACCUGGGAACUGCAUCCAAAACUGGCGGGCUGGAGUAGGGCAGAGGGUGGUGGAAUUUCCUGUGUAGCGGAGAAAUGCGUAGAUAUAGGAAGGAACACCAGUGGCGAAGGCGACCACCUGGGCUCAUACUGACACUGAGGUGCGAAAGCGUGGGGAGCAAACAGG
This 429-nucleotide ribosomal RNA is filed under the name Pseudomonadota bacterium. RNAcentral describes it as "Proteobacteria bacterium partial 16S ribosomal RNA". It matches the Rfam family "Bacterial small subunit ribosomal RNA", at positions 355 to 776 of the family's 1533-position model. Lineage: Bacteria; Pseudomonadati; Pseudomonadota. The record is from RNAcentral.